Molecule: long non-coding RNA, 1022 nt
Organism: Anastrepha obliqua
Lineage: Eukaryota; Metazoa; Arthropoda; Insecta; Diptera; Tephritidae
Exons: 4
Source: RefSeq, a predicted model, not a curated record
UUUCCUUAAUUUGGAGACAAAAGGCUGUUUAGGCUAUUAACAAAAAAUAAUAAUGAAAAGUUUGAUAAAAUACAUAUUUAGGUGUAGAAAAUGCUCUCAAACUACUUACUUGUGCAGUUCACCAGCUCGCAACGAUUUCUACAAUAACUUCUUCAGUAUUUAAGUCAUGGUACUACAGCGCCAAUGAGUAGCAACUGGAGUCGUUGUGUUCAGUGUUUCACUAGACGUGUAAGGACUCGCACUUCCGAUACACCCUCACUAUCAUUUGCCAUAGAGGGUCACGCUAAUGGGCAAGUUAACCGUCCUUGGGGCUUAUGCGUUAAUAAAAUGGGUCCCAUAUUCACCUCCGAUAGACGUAACAAUCGUGUGCAAGUUUUUAAUUCGGAUGGUACCCUGAAGUUUAAAUUCGGCCGUAAAGGCUCUGGACGCAUUAUUAUUACAGAUUCUAAAAACCAACGAGUGGCUAUCUACAAUUCCAACUUUAAAUAGAUUUGGAAAAUUGAAAUGCGUUCAUCGAGAAAUCCCUCUCGACGAAAAAGAUCGAACUUGUGACGUUUCUCUUAUGCCCGAUGGUCGAAUUGUUUUCCUACUCGAAUUAUCACCUGAUACGAAAGAGGGCUCCAAUGCUUAAAAAGGAUUUGUGCACGUUUUUUAAUUUUUUUAUUUAUAGUUAAUAAAAUCGCGUACCACAUCAAACGAAAUCAUUGAGUAACAAGCCAAAACAUAUUGUUCCUCUAUCAAUUUAAAAACUUUAUUAAAAAAAUUUGAUGUGAAGAAAUUAACAACUACUUCUAUAGUAUUAAAAGUGUAGGCUAUAAUCAUUAUAAUGGCAUGCAUACAUACAUAUAUGCAAAUAAUAUAGCUUAAGUUAGUGAAAUUCAUUUAUUUAUUUAAAGGCGGCUGCAUUUAUGGCAACCUCCGAGGGUAUUUAUGCAAUGAAAAAGCUCUCAUAAACACCAUUGUUAUUUGGGGCAGCACGAAACUGUAGGAGAAGCUCGCCCAAACACCCGAAAAAGGGUGUA